AUCUCAACGGCCGCGGUAUCUUGACCGUGCAAAGGUAGCAUAAUCACUUGUCUCUUAAAUGGGGACCAGUAUGAAUGGCAUCACACUCCCUAACUGUCUCUUUUCUAAACCUUCUAAACUUCUAUUCACGUGAAGAAACAUGAAUAAAAAAGAUAGACGAGAAGACCCUGUCGAGCUUUAGCUUUUACUAAAUAUUUUAUUAACCUCUAUUACUAAAAGUCAAAUAAAUUUAACUAUAAGCUUUGGUUGGGGCAACCAUGGAGAAAAAAAAUCCUCCAGUUAACAAGAAGAUUUCAAAUCACUUACUAAAUCUUUACAAAGAGAACCAGUAAAUUCUGGAAAACGGAAAAAGUUACCGCAGGGAUAACAGCGUUAUCUUCUCUAAGAGUCCUUAUUGACGAGAAGGUUUGCGACCUCGAUGUUGGAUUGGGGUAACCAAAAGGUGCAGCAGCUUUUAUUGGUUGGACUGUCGUCCGUUAAAACCCU
Molecule: ribosomal RNA, 486 nt
Filed under: Molpadida sp. KKR-2008
Lineage: Eukaryota; Metazoa; Echinodermata; Holothuroidea; Molpadida
Description: partial 16S ribosomal RNA
Rfam family: Bacterial large subunit ribosomal RNA
Source: RNAcentral